This 87-nucleotide signal recognition particle RNA is filed under the name Acinetobacter radioresistens. Its description in RNAcentral is "Bacterial small signal recognition particle RNA". It matches the Rfam family "Bacterial small signal recognition particle RNA", at positions 5 to 90 of the family's 97-position model. Rfam says of the family: The signal recognition particle (SRP) is a universally conserved ribonucleoprotein involved in the co-translational targeting of proteins to membranes. Archaeal SRP consists of a 7S RNA and homologues of the eukaryotic SRP19 and SRP54 proteins. The record is from RNAcentral. Lineage: Bacteria; Pseudomonadati; Pseudomonadota; Gammaproteobacteria; Moraxellales; Moraxellaceae.
UGGUAGCCUCGCAAUUGUACUCUGUGAACCCCGCCAGGACCGGAAGGUAGCAACGGUAGCAGAUCUAUGAUGUGCCGAAGUUUUGCU